RNAcentral lists this ribosomal RNA (253 nucleotides) under uncultured bacterium. RNAcentral's name for it is "partial 16S ribosomal RNA". It matches the Rfam family "Bacterial small subunit ribosomal RNA", at positions 524 to 776 of the family's 1533-position model. The record is from RNAcentral.
UACGGGGGGGGCAAGCGUUGUUCGGAAUUACCGGGCGUAAAGGGCUCGUAGGCGGCCAACUAAGUCAGACGUGAAAUCCCUCGGCUUAACCGGGGAACUGCAUCUGAUACUGGAUGGCUUGAGAUUGGGAGAGGGAUGCGGAAUUCCAGGUGUAGCGGUGAAAUGCGCAGAUAUCAGGAGGAACACCGAUGGCGAAGGCAGGUCUCUGGGCCGAUACUGACGCUGAGGAGCGAAAGCGUGGGGAGCGAACAGG